AUUGAACGCUGGCGGCAGGCCUAACACAUGCAAGUCGAGCGGAUGAAGGGAGCUUGCUCCUGGAUUCAGGCGGCGGACGGGUGAGUAAUGCCUAGGAAUCUGCCUGGUAGUGGGGGAUAACGUCCGGAAACGGGCGCUAAUACCGCAUACGUCCUGAGGGAGAAAGUGGGGGAUCUUCGGACCUCACGCUAUCAGAUGAGCCUAGGUCGGAUUAGCUAGUUGGUGGGGUAAAGGCCUACCAAGGCGACGAUCCGUAACUGGUCUGAGAGGAUGAUCAGUCACACUGGAACUGAGACACGGUCCAGACUCCUACGGGAGGCAGCAGUGGGGAAUAUUGGACAAUGGGCGAAAGCCUGAUCCAGCCAUGCCGCGUGCGUGAAGAAGGUCUUCGGAUUGUAAAGCACUUUCAGUGAGGAGGAAAGUUGGUUCACUAAUAUUGGCCAGCCUUGACGUUACUCACAGAAGAAGCACCGGCUAACUCCGUGCCAGCAGCCG
Molecule: ribosomal RNA, 495 nt
Filed under: uncultured bacterium
Lineage: Bacteria
Description: bacterial SSU rRNA
Rfam family: Bacterial small subunit ribosomal RNA
Source: RNAcentral